UACAGAGGUCUCAAGCGUUGUUCGGAUUCAUUGGGCGUAAAGGGUGUGUAGGUGGCGCCGUAAGUCGGGUGUGAAAUUUCGGAGCUUAACUCCGAAACUGCAUUCGAUACUGCGGUGCUUGAGGACUGGAGAGGAGACUGGAAUUCAUGGUGUAGCAGUGAAAUGCGUAGAGAUCAUGAGGAAGACCAGUGGCGAAGGCGGGUCUCUGGACAGUUCCUGACACUGAGACACGAAGGCCAGGGGAGCAAACGGGAUUAGAACCAGUACCGU
This 270-nucleotide ribosomal RNA is filed under the name uncultured bacterium. Its description in RNAcentral is "partial 16S ribosomal RNA". It matches the Rfam family "Bacterial small subunit ribosomal RNA", at positions 524 to 790 of the family's 1533-position model. The record is from RNAcentral.